This 826-nucleotide ribosomal RNA is filed under the name uncultured bacterium. RNAcentral describes it as "bacterial SSU rRNA". It matches the Rfam family "Bacterial small subunit ribosomal RNA", at positions 26 to 898 of the family's 1533-position model. The record is from RNAcentral.
AGAACGAACGCUGGCGGCAGGCCUAACACAUGCAAGUCGAACGCUCUCGCAAGAGAGAGUGGCGCACGGGUGCGUAACGCGUGGGAACGUACCUCUAGGUACGGAAUAGUCCAGGGAAACUUGGGUUAAUACCGUAUAAUAUCUCCGGAUCAAAGAUUUAUCGCCUAGAGAUCGGCCCGCGUUGGAUUAGCUAGUUGGUGAGGUAACGGCUCACCAAGGCAACGAUCCAUAGCUGGUCUGAGAGGAUGAUCAGCCACACUGGAACUGAGACACGGUCCAGACUCCUACGGGAGGCAGCAGUGAGGAAUAUUAGACAAUGGGGGCAACCCUGAUCCAGCCAUGCCGCGUGAGUGAUGAAGGCCUUCGGGUUGUAAAACUCUUUUAGAUGUGACGAUGAUGACGGUAACAUCAGAAAAAGCUCCGGCUAACUUCGUGCCAGCAGCCGCGGUAAUACGAAGGGAGCGAGCGUUGUUCGGAAUCACUGGGCUUAAAGCGUGCGUAGGCGGAUGUGUAAGUAAGAAGUGAAAUCCCAGGGCUUAACCCUGGAACUGCUUUUUAGACUGCACAUCUGGAAUUCGGUAGAGGUUGGUGGAACUCCUAGUGUAGAGGUGAAAUUCGCAGAUAUUAGGAAGAACACCGGUGGCGAAGGCGACCAACUGGACCGAUAUUGACGCUGAGGCACGAAAGCGUGGGUAGCAAACAGGAUUAGAUACCCUGGUAGUCCACGCUGUAAACCAUGUAUGCUAGCUGUUGGAGUCCUUAGGGCUUCGGCGGCGGAGAGAAAUCAUUAAGCAUACCGCCUGGGGAGUACGGCCGCAAGGUUAAA